Molecule: ribosomal RNA, 1944 nt
Filed under: Salmonella enterica
Lineage: Bacteria; Pseudomonadati; Pseudomonadota; Gammaproteobacteria; Enterobacterales; Enterobacteriaceae
Description: partial 23S ribosomal RNA
Rfam family: Bacterial large subunit ribosomal RNA
Source: RNAcentral
AGACCCGAAACCCGGUGAUCUAGCCAUGGGCAGGUUGAAGGUUGGGUAACACUAACUGGAGGACCGAACCGACUAAUGUUGAAAAAUUAGCGGAUGACCUGUGGCUGGGGGUGAAAGGCCAAUCAAACCGGGAGAUAGCUGGUUCUCCCCGAAAGCUAUUUAGGUAGCGCCUCGUGAAUUCAUCUCCGGGGGUAGAGCACUGUUUCGGCUAGGGGGCCAUCCCGGCUUACCAACCCGAUGCAAACUGCGAAUACCGGAGAAUGUUAUCACGGGAGACACACGGCGGGUGCUAACGUCCGUCGUGAAGAGGGAAACAACCCAGACCGCCAGCUAAGGUCCCAAAGUCAUGGUUAAGUGGGAAACGAUGUGGGAAGGCCCAGACAGCCAGGAUGUUGGCUUAGAAGCAGCCAUCAUUUAAAGAAAGCGUAAUAGCUCACUGGUCGAGUCGGCCUGCGCGGAAGAUGUAACGGGGCUAAACCAUGCACCGAAGCUGCGGCAGCGAACGUAUCACCCAAGACAACUUUACGGAGUUGACGAUUGACGGAGCGAAGCGACGUCAAAGCGUUCAUUAAAGUCGAGUUGGCUUAGGGAUACGUUCGUUGGGUAGGGGAGCGUUCUGUAAGCCUGUGAAGGUGUGUCGUGAGGCAUGCUGGAGGUAUCAGAAGUGCGAAUGCUGACAUAAGUAACGAUAAAGCGGGUGAAAAGCCCGCUCGCCGGAAGACCAAGGGUUCCUGUCCAACGUUAAUCGGGGCAGGGUGAGUCGACCCCUAAGGCGAGGCCGAAAGGCGUAGUCGAUGGGAAACGGGUUAAUAUUCCCGUACUUGGUGUUACUGCGAAGGGGGGACGGAGAAGGCUAUGUUGGCCGGGCGACGGUUGUCCCGGUUUAAGCGUGUAGGUGUGUGUUCCAGGUAAAUCCGGUUCACUUUAACACUGAGGCGUGACGACGAGGCACUACGGUGCUGAAGCAACAAAUGCCCUGCUUCCAGGAAAAGCCUCUAAGCAUCAGGUAACAUCAAAUCGUACCCCAAACCGACACAGGUGGUCAGGUAGAGAAUACCAAGGCGCUUGAGAGAACUCGGGUGAAGGAACUAGGCAAAAUGGUGCCGUAACUUCGGGAGAAGGCACGCUGACACGUAGGUGAAGUGAUUUACUCAUGGAGCUGAAGUCAGUCGAAGAUACCAGCUGGCUGCAACUGUUUAUUAAAAACACAGCACUGUGCAAACACGAAAGUGGACGUAUACGGUGUGACGCCUGCCCGGUGCCGGAAGGUUAAUUGAUGGGGUCAGCGCAAGCGAAGCUCCUGAUCGAAGCCCCGGUAAACGGCGGCCGUAACUAUAACGGUCCUAAGGUAGCGAAAUUCCUUGUCGGGUAAGUUCCGACCUGCACGAAUGGCGUAAUGAUGGCCAGGCUGUCUCCACCCGAGACUCAGUGAAAUUGAACUCGCUGUGAAGAUGCAGUGUACCCGCGGCAAGACGGAAAGACCCCGUGAACCUUUACUAUAGCUUGACACUGAACAUUGAGCCUUGAUGUGUAGGAUAGGUGGGAGGCUUUGAAGUGUGGACGCCAGUCUGCAUGGAGCCGACCUUGAAAUACCACCCUUUAAUGUUUGAUGUUCUAACGUGGACCCGUAAUCCGGGUUGCGGACAGUGUCUGGUGGGUAGUUUGACUGGGGCGGUCUCCUCCUAAAGAGUAACGGAGGAGCACGAAGGUUGGCUAAUCCUGGUCGGACAUCAGGAGGUUAGUGCAAUGGCAUAAGCCAGCUUGACUGCGAGCGUGACGGCGCGAGCAGGUGCGAAAGCAGGUCAUAGUGAUCCGGUGGUUCUGAAUGGAAGGGCCAUCGCUCAACGGAUAAAAGGUACUCCGGGGAUAACAGGCUGAUACCGCCCAAGAGUUCAUAUCGACGGCGGUGUUUGGCACCUCGAUGUCGGCUCAUCACAUCCUGGG